UCUUCUUCUCUCUUUUUUCUUAUUCUCUUCUUCUCUCCGGCGCUUUCUGAUUAUUGAUUAUAGGAAAUCAGAGAAUAAAUCUGUAUAGAUAAUAAGGGUGAUGGUGUAAUUGUUGAUGUACGAAGUAGAACAAGUAGGAGUUUUAGUUUCUCUGUGUGAGGUGAUGAAUCAUGGAGAGAGGGUUAGGGGUUAGGGUUUAUUCUUGAGGUGAAGAAAUCAUGAGAAGAUGAUGGGUAUGUUGAGAUCCCCGGUGAUUCAUGGUGGUGAUGUUAAAUCAAAUGUUGAUUCAACUCAGCAGAAAUGGAGGGGAAACCCCUUGUUCUGAAUGUAGUGAGAAAAGCAGAACAAUUGCUUGUGAAUGUGGUGUUAGAGUAAUUCACUAUCUCUGGUGAAACUAACUUUCUCAAGUAGUAAGAAGGAAGAAUGAUUUUACAGCUUUAUAGGAUAAACUGAAUUGUGCACAUCAAGUUUCAAUGUCCUGUUAUUGGUAAACUUUUUGCUGCUGAAGAAAGCUCUGUUCAGAUUGGUCUUAAGAAGUAUGACCCUCAAAAGGACAUUCAGUGGUUCAGUGUAGUUGCCAUAUAUUCCCCGCCUGAAGAUGAAAUUUUGCAGGAUUGGAUAUGACAAAGGCAUACAUGCUUGAUACACAAGAGGCAGUGGAGUCAAAAUUCAAAAAAUGGGAAAAGACUGCUCCUUUUGGUUGGGAUGGUAAGCUUCUAAUAUCAGAAUACUUGUUUCUAUAAUAUAUAUAAGCAUACUAUAUAUACUGUUAGGAUUCAGGGAAUGAGCAGAUGAUGGUCCAAGAUGAUGCUCUAACCUGAUAGCGCGUGACAUGGGAUUUUGAUGGCCAUAUGAUAUUACUUGCUUUCUCAGAAUCAGUAGAAUUUGGCUCUAUGCACUUUGUGUCGAGGCUUCUGACAUUGGGGUGGCAAGACUAAGGAAGAGGAAUUCAACACAGGACCCCUUUCUGUUCUUAUGAUGAGUGUCAAAAAUAACACUCAGGCACCUAAAGAAGAAAUGCUCUUGUCUGGUCUUAAAGAAAGCAGCUGAGGGCGAACAAAGAUAACCUAUCCACUCUCAUGGUAUGCUUAGUUACAAAAUAUGUUCAUGAUAUUUGUGAUACAGAGAAUCUGUAUUCCCUUAGGACAUAGGAAUGAACUUGUAAUGAUUUAAGUGAGAAUGAGCUCAACUUGUGAAGUUUUUAUCUUUAUCUAUUCCCUUAGAAUUUUUUUGAUACUUCAAAAAUUUGUAUUCUUUUUUGAUAUGAUA
This is a long non-coding RNA of Papaver somniferum (opium poppy), 1269 nucleotides long. RefSeq lists it as uncharacterized. Lineage: Eukaryota; Viridiplantae; Streptophyta; Magnoliopsida; Ranunculales; Papaveraceae. The record is from RefSeq and is a predicted model, not a curated record. The transcript has 6 exons.